AUGUAUAAGAUGAGAAAACUGUGGUGUGCUCCAUAUCUUGAUGGGCGUUGUUUCCUAGGGUUGAGCAGCAAUCAGCGGAGUGAGAGUUUAAACUCGGUGAUACAUGCGCAUCUUGAGGCUAAGAUGACGUUGUUUCAAAUGCUAGAGCAUUAUGAGUGUUGCCUUGCAUCGCGACGCUUGAACGAGGCUCUCCAAGACAUCGAGGACUUGCAGUCCGUUCCAUUAACAGAGGAAAAUGCUUCAAGUCUUGAGAAACAUGCCGCAAAAGUUUUCACUCCUAUUGUUUUUAAGUUGGUCUUAUGGAGCAUAAAUGUUGUAAGAAAAUGUGAGAUCAGGGAGGUACUUGAUGCAGCAGAAGUUACCACAUACGUUGUGUCUAAGAACGAAAGAAUGGAUAAAAACAUCAAGGUGCGCACGUAG
RNAcentral lists this ribosomal RNA (420 nucleotides) under Triticum aestivum (bread wheat). RNAcentral's name for it is "partial small subunit ribosomal RNA". Lineage: Eukaryota; Viridiplantae; Streptophyta; Magnoliopsida; Poales; Poaceae. The record is from RNAcentral.